AGCAGCCGCGGUAAUUCCAGCUCCAAUAGCGUAUAUUAAAGUUGUUGCAGUUAAAAAGCUCGUAGUUGAAUUUCGGGAUCAGUUCGUCGGUCGUGCCUUUGGUAUGUACUGGUGUUACUGGUUCCUCCCUUCUGACGAACCGUCAUGUCAUUAAUUUGGUGUGGCGGGAAAUCAGGACUGUUACUUUGAAAAAUUAGAGUGUUUAAAGCAGGCUCGCGCUUGAAUACAUUAGCAUGGAAUAAUGAAAUAGGACGUUCGAUCCUAUUUUGUUGGUUUCUAGGAUUGACGUAAUGAUUAAUAGGGAUAGUUGGGGCAUCAGUAUUCAAUUGUCAGAGGUGAAAUUCUUGGAUUUAUUGAAGACUAACUACUGCGAAAGCAUUUGCCAAGGAUGUUUUCAUU
RNAcentral lists this ribosomal RNA (399 nucleotides) under uncultured Glomeromycotina. RNAcentral describes it as "SSU rRNA". It matches the Rfam family "Eukaryotic small subunit ribosomal RNA", at positions 569 to 974 of the family's 1831-position model. The record is from RNAcentral. Lineage: Eukaryota; Fungi; Glomeromycota.